RNAcentral lists this ribosomal RNA (385 nucleotides) under uncultured Bacteroidota bacterium. Its description in RNAcentral is "bacterial SSU rRNA". It matches the Rfam family "Bacterial small subunit ribosomal RNA", at positions 366 to 747 of the family's 1533-position model. The record is from RNAcentral. Lineage: Bacteria; Pseudomonadati; Bacteroidota.
GGUCCAUGGGGGCAAGCUUGAACCACCCCGCCCGCGUGCAGAAAGACUGCGGUUUGUAUUGUAAAUUUCUUUUCCAGGGAGAGAACCUUGCUCACGNGUNGCGCAAUUGACGGUACCCUGGGAAUAAGCAUCGGCUAACUCCGUGCCAGCAGCCGCGGUAAUACGGAGGGGGCGAGCGUUAUCCGGAUUCAUUGGGUUUAAAGGAAGCGUAGGCGGAUUAUUAAGUCAGUGGUGAAAUCCUGCGGCUUAACUGCCGAACUGCCGUUGAUACUGAUAGCCUUGAGUUUGGUAGAGGAAGGCGGAAUGCCUAAUGUAGCGGUGAAAUGCUUAGAUAUCGGGCGGAACACCAAUGGCGAAGGCAGCUUACUGGCCCGACACUGACGCU